Molecule: ribosomal RNA, 459 nt
Filed under: uncultured bacterium
Lineage: Bacteria
Description: bacterial SSU rRNA
Rfam family: Bacterial small subunit ribosomal RNA
Source: RNAcentral
UACGGAAGGCAGCAGUGGGGAAUAUUGCACAAUGGGCGAAAGCCUGAUGCAGCUAUGCCGCGUGUAUGAAGAAGGCCUUAGGGUUGUAAAGUACUUUCAUCGGGGAGGAAAAAACAAAACUAAUAAUUUUAUUUCUUGACGUUACCCGAAAAAGAAGCACCGGCUAACUCCGUGCCAGCAGCCGCGGUAAUACGGAGGGUGCUAGCGUUAAUCAGAAUUACUGGGCGUAAAGAGCACGUAGGUGGUUUUUUUAAGUCAGAUGUGAAAUCCCUGGGCUUAACCUAGGAACUGCAUUUUGAAACUGAAAUACUAGAGUAUCGUAGAGGGAGGUAGAAUUCUAGGUGUAGCGGUGAAAUGCGUAGAUAUCUGGAGGAAUACCUGUGGCGAAAAGCGGCCUCCUAAACGAAUACUGACACUGAGGUGCGAAAAGCGUGGGGAGCAAAACAGGGAUUAGAUACC